Oncorhynchus tshawytscha (Chinook salmon) is the source of this 923-nucleotide long non-coding RNA. Lineage: Eukaryota; Metazoa; Chordata; Actinopteri; Salmoniformes; Salmonidae. The record is from Ensembl.
AUGAAUCAAAUACAAAGAUGGUCUUUUAGCGCCCCGUACAGGUCAGAUUAAGGAUGUGCAGAGUGGGAGAGUUCCAGGUGGAUUUAACAUUCAAGACAGUCGCCUGACCCCACACUGAAGACGGCUCGAAAACACAAACCAUCACAAAUAUGAGUUUCUCUGACCUGACUUCACCCUUCGACGUUUCUUCCAUGAGCGAAGAACAACUCGAGAGUUUGGUUGAACAACUUCAAGAUGCCGUCAGUAAUGUGAACGAGGAACUGAACAUGACUAAGGAAGAGCGAGAGGCUGUAGAUAAGGACGUGAAAAGACGCACUGAAGACCUGAACCGGAGGAUGGUGAUGGCGACGCAGACAGGAGGAGUGGGUGAGGCCCUGUUGGAGCUGGAGCAACUGAGGCUGAGGAGGGCUGAGCUGGUCCAGCAACUGGAGGGGAUUAAUAGCAGAAAAUCAAUCGCUACAAGUGAGUCAAGCCUCUGGUUGGGUGAAGUUGGAAAAGCUGGAGGAAUCUACCAAGCCAGGCCCAAGGAGGGGUCUACAACCACAAGGCCAAACAGCAGACAACAAGCCAACAAAACACAGAAGACAGAAGUGACAAGCUGUUUACAUUUGAUUUGAUUUGAUUUUAUACUGUUAGUAAGUAGAACUGAUUACGUUAUUAUUGGUGAAAUCUAGACAUUUUUGUGGUAGACAUUUAGAAAGAUUUGUAUUAGUAAUUUUGAUGGGUUGGGAAUAUAACUUGAGAAGCCGUGUUAAUAUUAUCUCUGAGGGACUGAAUAUUUUUCAGUGAAAUAUUUACUGUUCAAUAAAUUAAAGUAAUGAACCAAUGUAUGGUGACUUUUAAUGGACUUUACAAUGAAAUGGUUUAUCUAGGGGAACAUUUAUCGAGGGGAAAAGGAAAUAAAGGUUUUCUGUUGUGACUCA